This 489-nucleotide ribosomal RNA is filed under the name uncultured bacterium. RNAcentral's name for it is "partial 16S ribosomal RNA". It matches the Rfam family "Bacterial small subunit ribosomal RNA", at positions 30 to 506 of the family's 1533-position model. The record is from RNAcentral.
AUUGAACGCUGGCGGCAGGCCUAACACAUGCAAGUCGAACGGUAACAGGAAGCAGCUUGCUGCUUUGCUGACGAGUGGCGGACGGGUGAGUAAUGUCUGGGAAACUGCCCGAUGGAGGGGGAUAACUACUGGAAACGGUAGCUAAUACCGCAUAACGUCGCAAGACCAAAGAGGGGGACCUUAGGGCCUCUUGCCAUCGGAUGUGCCCAGAUGGGAUUAGCUAGUAGGUGGGGUAACGGCUCACCUAGGCGACGAUCCCUAGCUGGUCUGAGAGGAUGACCAGCCACACUGGAACUGAGACACGGUCCAGACUCCUACGGGAGGCAGCAGUGGGGAAUAUUGCACAAUGGGCGCAAGCCUGAUGCAGCCAUGCCGCGUGUAUGAAGAAGGCCUUCGGGUUGUAAAGUACUUUCAGCGGGGAGGAAGGGAGUAAAGUUAAGACCUUUGCUCAUUGACGUUACCCGCAGAAGAAGCACCGGCGAACUCCGG